Molecule: ribosomal RNA, 468 nt
Filed under: uncultured bacterium
Lineage: Bacteria
Description: partial 16S ribosomal RNA
Rfam family: Bacterial small subunit ribosomal RNA
Source: RNAcentral
GACGAACGCUGGCGGCGUGCUUAACACAUGCAAGUCGAACGGAAAGGCCCUGCUUUUGUGGGGUGCUCGUGUGGCGAACGGGGGAGUAUCACGUGAGUAAACUGCCCUUGACUUUGGGAUAAAUUCAGGAAACAGGGGCUAAUACCGGAUAGGAGCUCCUGAUGCACGGUGGUGGAUGGAAAGAUUCGGCGGUUGGGGAUGGACUCGCGGCUUAUCGGCUUGUUGGUGGGGUAGUGGCUUACAAAGGCUUUGACGGGUAGCCGGCCUGAGAGGGGGACCGGCCACAUGGGGCCUGCGGUACGGCCCAGACGCCUACGGGCGGCAGCAGUGGGGAAUAUUGCACAAUGGGCGGAAGCCUGAUGCAGCAACGCCGCGUGCGGGAUGACGGCCUUCGGGUUGUAAACCGCUUUCGCCUGUGACGAAGCGUGAGUGACGGUAAUGGGUAAAGAAGCACCGGCUAACUACGUG